Molecule: ribosomal RNA, 164 nt
Filed under: Layia glandulosa
Lineage: Eukaryota; Viridiplantae; Streptophyta; Magnoliopsida; Asterales; Asteraceae
Description: 5.8S ribosomal RNA
Rfam family: 5.8S ribosomal RNA
About the family: 5.8S ribosomal RNA (5.8S rRNA) is a component of the large subunit of the eukaryotic ribosome. It is transcribed by RNA polymerase I as part of the 45S precursor that also contains 18S and 28S rRNA.
Source: RNAcentral
UAAACGACUCUCGGCAACGGAUAUCUUGGCUCACGCAUCGAUGAAGAACGUAGCAAAAUGCGAUACUUGGUGUGAAUUGCAGAAUCCCGUGAACCAUCGAGUUUUUGAACGCAAGUUGCGCCCGAAGCCUUCUGGUUGAGGGCACGUCUGCCUGGGCGUCACGC